GUAUAAGUUUACCGACGCUUUUUUAAGGCGAAGAUAUCGAUUUUACAUUCUAUGAGACAUGCGUCGAUGAAAUGAGACGUAGGGACCCUUUUUACAGGCCCUUACAUUAGGUUCACAAGUGUGUGUGGAUUAAAGGCUCGGGCGUGCACAUGCCCCGAAAGGCCAGCUACAACCCUCACCGGUAAUUUCAAUAAUGAUCCUUCCGCAGGUUCACCUACGGAAA
This 223-nucleotide unclassified non-coding RNA is filed under the name uncultured fungus. Its description in RNAcentral is "sequence contains ITS1". The record is from RNAcentral. Lineage: Eukaryota; Fungi.